AUACUACUCUCUCCGUUCCAAAAUUCGUGUCUUAGAUUUGUUUAGAUAUGAAUGUAUCUAGUCAUAUUUUAGUAGUUUGAUACAUUCAUUUUUGGACAAUGCUAAGACAAAAAAUUUGAAACGGGGGAGUAUAAC
Molecule: non-coding RNA, 135 nt
Organism: Hordeum vulgare subsp. vulgare (domesticated barley)
Lineage: Eukaryota; Viridiplantae; Streptophyta; Magnoliopsida; Poales; Poaceae
Source: Rfam